Long non-coding RNA from Gasterosteus aculeatus aculeatus (three-spined stickleback), 2072 nucleotides. Lineage: Eukaryota; Metazoa; Chordata; Actinopteri; Perciformes; Gasterosteidae. The record is from Ensembl.
CUUCAGACGGCGUGACAGGGGACAUUUGUCCAGUUGGACACUUUUGUCCCGCAGGCUCAACGUCUCCCGUGCUCUGCCCUGAUGGGACUUACUCCAACACUAGAGGGUCCGAACAGUGUGAUGACUGCCACUCAGGGACCUACUGUCUGUCCGGAGAAGGUGUCCAGCCUUGUCCAGCAGGACAUUACUGUAUCGGUGGCGGUGUUGAGGGCAUCCUUCCCUGCCCUCCUGGCACAUACAGCUCUCAGUUUGGCCUCAGCCAAGUGGAGCAGUGCCUCAUAUGUCCAGCAGGGUUCUACUGUGAGGACUGGGGUCUCUUUGAACCUAGCGGACCCUGCCAAGCUGGUUACUAUUGCAUAGCAGGUGUGAACUUUCAGAACCCAGAUGGGAACUUCAGCACAGGAGUAGGAGGCGCCUGUCCAAACGGGAUGUUCUGUCCUGAGGGCACCAGUCUCCCACUGCCCUGUCCACCAGGAACCUACUCCAACAGUCUUCAUCUGACAGAAGCUUCUGGCUGUAGUCCAUGUCCCCCGGGUCACUUCUGUGCCACGUCAGGUCUCACUCAUCCAUCUGGACUCUGUCAGGCGGGGUUUUACUGUCCAGGGGCAGACACAACAGCUACAGGUUCUGAAGGAGGUCUUUGCCCACCAGCUCAUUACUGCCCCGAGGGUAGUGCAAGCUCAGUGCCCUGCCCAGCUGGAGCCUACACCAACCUCACAGGGCAGCCUGUGUGUUCCCGCUGCCCCGCUGGAUACUACUGUCCAGAAAAGACUGGCAACUUCACCAAGUUCCCCUGCCCGCCUGGCUUCUACUGCCCAGAUGGUUCAAAGCACGCCACCCAGUUCCCCUGUCCUCGCGGAUACUACAACCCAGAGCCCAUGACUCACAGUCUGGACAGCUGCCUGCCUUGUCCACCUGGACACUACUGUGAGAAGGAGAGGCUGACCAAAGUGUCCGGGAAAUGCAAAGCCGGUUGGUUCUGUGUGUCAGCAGCUUGGACCUCCCAGCCUUUCGAUCUGGACAAUUACACAAAUGCCAACUGCCUUUGCCCAGCUACAUCCACAGGGGGGCGCUGCCAAGUGGGCUUUUACUGCCCUUUAGGUAGCUCAGAGCCCGUGCCAUGUCCACCUGGAGCCUUCUGUAACAUCUCAGGUUUGGCUCGGCCGAUGGGUCCCUGCUUCUCUGGCUAUUACUGUGAGGGAGGAGCCACCGAGGCGAAGCCAACAGAUGGAGAAACGGGCAGCAUCUGUCCACCUGGGGCGUACUGCGUUGAGGGCUCAGGAGAGCCGGAUUUGUGUCCAAGUGGUACUUUUUCCUCAGUGCCCGGUCUAAACAGUGAGGCUGGCUGUCAGAAAUGCACUGCUGGUUUCUACUGCAAAGGAGCAGGUCUCAGAGCUCCGACUGGACCCUGCAGCCAAGGGUUUUGGUGCCCACCAGGUCAGACUGUGCCUACAGCUCUGCCGUGUCCUCCAAGCCACUUCUGCUCACAGGGAAGUGCGGCUCCCGUUCCGUGCCCAUCAGGAACCUACCAGGACAGAGAACAACAGUCAGCCUGUGCUGUCUGUGAAGCAGGUUACUACUGCGAUUUGAGACGGUCCAAUGUUUCUAUUCUGAGGCCUUGCCCUGAAGGACACUACUGCCCUGCAGGUACAGCCCUUCCCAACCCCUGCCCCAUAGGCUCCUUCAACCCCAGAGAGCGCACGCACAGUGUUGCAGGCUGCACGCCAUGUGCUGCUGGACAGUACUGUCCUUUUGUAGGACUUUCAGAGCCGGCAGGAUCUUGUAAUGCUGGUCAUUGGUGCAGAGUGGGGGCAUCCUCUCCCAGUCCUCUGGAUGGAGUCUCAGGUUCCUUGUGUCCGCCUGGUCAAUACUGCCCCACAGGCACUACAGGACCAAUGGCCUGCCCUCAAGGAAGCUGGUCCAACGCCUCAGGUCUGCGUAAGCAGGAGGACUGCGCACCCUGUUUAGGGGGAUUUUACUGCAACUCUGUCGGCCUCACCAAACCUAGUGGACCCUGCGUCGGGGGGUAUUACUGCGUAGAGGGAGCCGUUACAUUCGCCCCUACUGAUGGA